Molecule: non-coding RNA, 90 nt
Filed under: Salinisphaera hydrothermalis
Lineage: Bacteria; Pseudomonadati; Pseudomonadota; Gammaproteobacteria; Salinisphaerales; Salinisphaeraceae
Also listed under: 1 other name
Description: c-di-GMP sequence
Rfam family: c-di-GMP-I riboswitch aptamer
About the family: GEMM was predicted in a large-scale screen for bacterial structured RNA regulatory elements. Genes associated with GEMM are involved in a diverse array of functions, including chemotaxis regulation, signal transduction, secretion and chitin.
Source: RNAcentral
UUAAGACAAAGGCAAAGCCGUCGAAAGGCGGUGACGCAAAGCCACGGGUCUAACGCACGCACCGCGUGCCAUGACCGCCGGGUUGCCGCU